CCAAAACUCACAAUCGAAAAGACUGGCAGCGGAAAGCAAGGACACGAGUACCAUAACCAAAAGGUGAUAGGUUAUGUGAUGCGUAGAAAACGCUGCUGAAUGUGGGUGCAAGGUGGCCAGGUGGAACGGACAACUAGUUCAUUCUGCAGAACAACAAUGUUGGCCUAUAUGCCUACAGGAGGGAGCUCUUGAGGAUGGAUGGCUAAUUGAGAUGCAGCUGAUGAGGAUAUGAGCUGGCUGGAAUGGAAUGGACUGGAGAGAGGACUUUGACUGUAGUCAGACUAGUCUGAAGAGUCCACCAUGGAGACCCCAGUCCCCAGGCUCCAACAAACUCACAGCCAACCCAAACAUUUUGAUGUGUCCGACACUUAUUCAUUGAAGUAAAUAGCUUGGACCUUAGUCACGGUCAAAAAGUGACAUUAACAUUAAGUUGGGUACAUUUGAACUAGACUAGAAUGUUGUAGUCUGGUGUGAUGAACAUUGUUUAACUUCUACUUAUUCACUGCUGGCCUAUAAGAGUUAUAAGUAUCAAUCACAUGUAUUUAUAAAACCCGUUUUACAUCGGCAGAUAUCACAAAGUGCUUAUACAGAAACCCAGCCUAAAAUCUCCCUAGAAAGGCAGGAACCUAGGAAGAAACCGAGAGUGGAACCAGGCUCUGAGGGGUGGCCAAUCCACUUCUGUCUGUGCCGGUGGAGAUUAUAAGAGUACAUGGCCAUUAAGGCUAGAUUGUUCUUCAAGAUGUUCAAGCGUUCAAAGAUGACCAGCAGUGUAAAAUAAUAAUCACAGUGGUUAUAGAGGGUGCAACAGGUCAGCACCUCAGGAGUAAAUGUCAGUUAGCUUUUCAUAACUGAGCAUUCAGAGGUAGAGAGGUAAGGAGAGAGAGAGAAGAAACAGCCGGUCCAGGAUAUAUUAGCAGGUCCAGUGAACAGGUCAGGGUUCCAUAGCCUCAGGCAGAACAGCAGAAACUGGAUCAGCAGCACGACCAGGUGGACUGGGGAUGGGGAUGAGGACUGCUAGGAGUCGUCAGGCCAGGUAGUCCUGAGGCAUGGUCCUAGGGUUCAGGUCCUCUGGGAGGGGAGAGAGAGAGCAUACUUAAGAUCACACAGGACAUCAGAUAAGACAGGAGAAAUACACCAGAUAGGACAGACUGACCCUAGCCCCCAGACACAUAGACUACUGCAGCAUAGAUACUGGGGAUUGAGACAGCGGGGGUCGGGGGACACUGUGGCCUCGUCCGACGAUACCCCUGGACAGGGCCAAGCAGGCAGGAUAUAACCCCACCCACUUUACCAAAACACAGGCCCUACUGUACACCACCAGAGGGAUAUCAACAGACCACCAACUUCCUACCCUGAGACAAGGCUGAGUAUAGCCCACAAAGAUUUCUGCCACCACAUGAGCCCGAGGGUGCGUAACACCGGACAAGAAGAUAACGUCAGUGACUCAAUGCACUCAAGUCGAGUAUAGCGGAAAAGUCCUGGCAAGACUUGAUGAACCCCUCCCAUGAGAGAACACUAGCAAGCCAGUGACUCAACCCCCGUAAUAAGGUCAGAGGCAGAGAGUCCCAGUGGAGAGCCGGCCAGGCAGAGACAGCCAAGGUAUUUCGUCACUCCAGUGCCUUGCCGUUCACCUUUGCACCCCUGGGCCAGACUACACUCAAUCAUAGGACCUACUGAAGAGAAGAGUCUUCAGUAAAGACUUAAAGGUUGAGACAGAGUCUGCGUCUCUCACAUGGAUGAGCAGACCAAUACAUAAAAGUUGAGCUCUAUAGGAGAAAGACCUGCCUCCAGCUGUUUGCUUAGAAAUUCUAUGAACAAUAAGGAGAUCUGAGUCUUGUAACCGUAGUGUAUAUGUAGGUAAGUACGGCAGGACCAAAUCGG
This 1881-nucleotide long non-coding RNA is filed under the name Salmo salar (Atlantic salmon). Its description in RNAcentral is "lncRNA (ENSSSAG00000081842.1)". Lineage: Eukaryota; Metazoa; Chordata; Actinopteri; Salmoniformes; Salmonidae. The record is from RNAcentral.